This 406-nucleotide ribosomal RNA is filed under the name uncultured bacterium. Its description in RNAcentral is "partial 16S ribosomal RNA". It matches the Rfam family "Bacterial small subunit ribosomal RNA", at positions 29 to 526 of the family's 1533-position model. The record is from RNAcentral.
AUUGAACGCUGGCGGCAGGCCUAACACAUGCAAGUCGAACGAGUGGCGGACGGGUGAGUAAUGUCUGGGAAACUGCCUGAUGGAGGGGGAUAACUACUGGAAACGGUAGCUAAUACCGCAUACCAUCGGAUGUGCCCAGGUGGGAUUAGCUAGUAGGGGGGGUAACGGCUCACCUAGGCGCCGAUCCCUAGCUGGUCUGAGAGGAUGACUAGCCAGACUGAAACUGAGACACGGUCCAGACUCCUACGGGAGGAAGCGGGGGGGAAUAUUGCACAAUGGGCGAAAGCCUGAUGCAGCCAUGCCGCGUGUAUGAAGAAGGCCUUCGGGUUGUAAAGUACUUUCAGCGGGGAGGCGUUACCCGAAGAAGAAGCACCGGCUAACUCCGUGCCAGCAGCCGCGGUAAGAG